RNAcentral lists this long non-coding RNA (4779 nucleotides) under Xyrichtys novacula (pearly razorfish). Lineage: Eukaryota; Metazoa; Chordata; Actinopteri; Labriformes; Labridae. The record is from RNAcentral.
UAGGGUUGGGCUUGGAGCUAGGAUUUUUCUGAGUGCAAUGAACCAACUCCCGAGUCUCUAGGACGUUCCUAAAAAAAUUUGAUUUUUUCCCAUAGGAAUGCAUGGGUUAGGGUUAGGGUUAGAGUUGGAGCUAGGGUUAGGGUUAGGGUUAGGGUUGGGUUAGGGUUAGUGCCAACCCAAUUUUUCACCUUCCAGAAUAGUGUUAGGAGCACGUUUCAGGGCACGGGGAGUCUAUUGAACCUAAUUCUGGGGGAAGUUUUUUGAAAGGUUUACUUAGGGUUUGGGUUAGGGUUAGGGUUGGAGCUAGGGUUAAGGUUGGAGCUAGGGUUAGGGUUAGGGUUAGGAUUAGGGUGGAGCUAGGGUUAGGGUUAGGGUUAGAGCUAGGGUUAGGGUUGGGGCUAGGGUUAGGGUUAGGGUUAAGGUUGGAGCUAGGGUUAGGGUUAGGGUUAGGGUUGGAGCUAGGGUUAGGGUUAGGGUUAGGGUUGGAGUUCGGGUUAGUGUUGGAGCUAGGGUUAGGGUUAGGGUUAGGGUUGGAGUUAGGGUUUGUGUUGGAGCUAGGGUUAGGGUUGGGGUUGUAGUUAGGGUUAGUGUUGGAGCUAGCGUUAGGGUUGGGCUUGGAGCUAGAAUUUUUCUGAGUGCAAUGAACCAACUCCCGAGUCUCUAGGACGUUCCUAAAAAAAAUUGAUUUUUUCCCAUAGGAAUGCAUGGGUUAGGGUUAGGGUUAGUGUUGGAGUUAGGGUUAGGGUUAGGGUUAGGGUUGGAGUUAGGGUUAGUGUUGGAGCUAGGGUUAGGGUUGGGCUUGGAGCUAGGAUUUUUCUGAGUGCAAUGAACCAACUCCCGAGUCUCUAGGACGUUCCUAAAAAAAAUUGAUUUUUUCCCAUAGGAAUGCAUGGGUUAGGGUUAGGGUUAGAGUUGGAGCUAGGGUUAGGGUUAGGGUUAGGGUUGGGUUAGGGUUAGUGCCAACCCAAUUUUUCACCUUCCAGAAUAGUGUUAGGAGCACGUUUCAGGGCACGGGGAGUCUAUAGAACCUAAUUCUGGGGGAAGUUUUUUGAAAGGUUUACUUAGGGUUAGGGUUGGAGCUAGGGUUAAGGUUGGAGCUAGGGUUAGGGUUAGGGUUAGGAUUAGGGUGGAGCUAGGGUUAGGGUUAGGGUUAGAGCUAGGGUUAGGGUUGGGGCUAGGGUUAGGGUUAGGGUUAAGGUUGGAGCUAGGGUUAGGGUUAGGGUUAGGGUUGGAGCUAGGGUUAGGGUUAGGGUUAGGGUUGGAGCUAGGGUUAGGGUUAGGGUUGGAGUUAGGGUUAGUGUUGGAGCUAGGGUUAGGGUUGGGCUUGGAGCUAGGAUUUUUCUGAGUGCAAUGAACCAACUCCCGAGUCUCUAGGACGUUCCUAAAAAAAUUUGAUUUUUUUCCCCAUAGGAAUGCAUGGGUUAGGGUUAGGGUUAGGGUUGGAGCUAGGGUUAGGGUUAGGGUUAGGGUUGGAGUAAGGGUUAGUGUUGGAGCUAGGGUUAGGGUUGGGCUUGGAGCUAGGAUUUUUCUGAGUGCAAUGAACCAACUCCCGAGUCUCUAGGACAUUCCUAAAAAAAUUUGAUUUUCUUCCCAUAGGAAUGCAUGGGUUAGGGUUAGGGUUAGGGUUGGAGUUAGGGUUAGUGUUGGAGCUAGGGUUAGGGUUGGGCUUGGAGCUAGGAUUUUUCUGAGUGCAAUGAACCAACUCCCGAGUCUCUAGGACGUUCCUAAAAAAAUUUGAUUUUUUUCCCCAUAGGAAUGCAUGGGUUAGGGUUAGGGUUAGGGUUGGAGCUAGGGUUAGGGUUAGGGUUAGGGUUGGAGUAAGGGUUAGUGUUGGAGCUAGGGUUAGGGUUGGGCUUGGAGCUAGGAUUUUUCUGAGUGCAAUGAACCAACUCCCGAGUCUCUAGGACAUUCCUAAAAAAAUUUGAUUUUUUUCCCCAUAGGAAUGCAUGGGUUAGGGUUAGGGUUAGGGUUGGAGCUAGGGUUAGGGUUAGGGUUAGGGUUGGAGUAAGGGUUAGUGUUGGAGCUAGGGUUAGGGUUGGGCUUGGAGCUAGGAUUUUUCUGAGUGCAAUGAACCAACUCCCGAGUCUCUAGGACAUUCCUAAAAAAAUUUGAUUUUCUUCCCAUAGGAAUGCAUGGGUUAGGGUUAGGGUUAGGGUUGGAGUUAGGGUUAGUGUUGGAGCUAGGGUUAGGGUUGGGCUUGGAGCUAGGAUUUUUCUGAGUGCAAUGAACCAACUCCCGAGUCUCUAGGACGUUCCUAAAAAAAUUUGAUUUUUUUUCCCAUAGGAAUGCAUGGGUUAGGGUUAGGGUUAGGGUUGGAGCUAGGGUUAGGGUUAGGGUUAGGGUUGGAGUAAGGGUUAGUGUUGGAGCUAGGGUUAGGGUUGGGCUUGGAGCUAGGAUUUUUCUGAGUGCAAUGAACCAACUCCCGAGUCUCUAGGACGUUCCUAAAAAAAUUUGAUUUUUUUCCCCAUAGGAAUGCAUGGGUUAGGGUUAGGGUUAGGGUUGGAGCUAGGGUUAGGGUUAGGGUUAGGGUUGGAGUAAGGGUUAGUGUUGGAGCUAGGGUUAGGGUUGGGCUUGGAGCUAGGAUUUUUCUGAGUGCAAUGAACCAACUCCCGAGUCUCUAGGACAUUCCUAAAAAAAUUUGAUUUUCUUCCCAUAGGAAUGCAUGGGUUAGGGUUAGGGUUAGGGUUGGAGUUAGGGUUAGUGUUGGAGCUAGGGUUAGGGUUGGGCUUGGAGCUAGGAUUUUUCUGAGUGCAAUGAACCAACUCCCGAGUCUCUAGGACGUUCCUAAAAAAAUUUGAUUUUUUUUCCCAUAGGAAUGCAUGGGUUAGGGUUAGGGUUAGGGUUGGAGCUAGGGUUAGGGUUAGGGUUAGGGUUGGAGUAAGGGUUAGUGUUGGAGCUAGGGUUAGGGUUGGGCUUGGAGCUAGGAUUUUUCUGAGUGCAAUGAACCAACUCCCGAGUCUCUAGGACGUUCCUAAAAAAAUUUGAUUUUUUCCCAUAGGAAUGCAUGGGUUAGGGUUAGGGUUAGGGUUGGAGCUAGGGUUAGGGUUAGGGUUGGAGUUAGGGUUAGUGUUGGAGCUAGCGUUAGGGUUGGGCUUGGAGCUAGGAUUUUUCUGAGUGCAAUGAACCAACUCCCGAGUCUCUAGGACGUUCCUAAAAAAAAUUGAUUUUUUCCCAUAGGAAUGCAUGGGUUAGGGUUAGGGUUAGGGUUGGAGCUAGGGUUAGGGUUAGGGUUAGGGUUGGAGUUAGGGUUAGUGUUGGAGCUAGCGUUAGGGUUGGGCUUGGAGCUAGGAUUUUUCUGAGUGCAAUGAACCAACUCCCGAGUCUCUAGGACGUUCCUAAAAAAAAUUGAUUUUUUCCCAUAGGAAUGCAUGGGUUAGGGUUAGGGUUAGAGUUGGAGCUAGGGUUAGGGUUAGGGUUAGGGUUGGGUUAGGGUUAGUGCCAACCCAAUUUUUCACCUUCCAGAAUAGUGUUAGGAGCACGUUUCAGGGCACGGGGAGUCUAUAGAACCUAAUUCUGGGGGAAGUUUUUUGAAAGGUUUACUUAGGGUUUGGGUUAGGGUUAGGGUUGGAGCUAGGGUUAAGGUUGGAGCUAGGGUUAGGGUUAGGGUUAGGAUUAGGGUGGAGCUAGGGUUAGGGUUAGGGUUAGAGCUAGGGUUAGGGUUGGGGCUAGGGUUAGGGUUAGGGUUAAGGUUGGAGCUAGGGUUAGGGUUAGGGUUAGGGUUGGAGCUAGGGUUAGGGUUAGGGUUAGGGUUGGAGCUAGGGUUAGGGUUAGGGUUGGAGCUAGGGUUAGGGUUGGGCUUGGAGCUAGGAUUUUUCUGAGUGCAAUGAACCAACUCCCGAGUCUCUAGGACGUUCCUAAAAAAAAUUGAUUUUUUUCCCAUAGGAAUGCAUGGGUUAGGGUUAGGGUUAGGGUUGGAGCUAGGGUUAGGGUUAGGGUUAGGGUUGGAGUUAAGGGUUAGUGUUGGAGCUAGGGUUAGGGUUGGGCUUGGAGCUAGGAUUUUUCUGAGUGCAAUGAACCAACUCCCGAGUCUCUAGGACGUUCCUAAAAAAAAUAGAUUUUUUCCCAUAGGAAUGCAUGGGUUAGGGUUAGGGUUAGGGUUGGAGCUAGGGUUAGGGUUAGGGUUAGGGUUGGAGUUAGGGUUAGUGUUGGAGCUAGGGUUAGGGUUAGGGUUAGGGUUGGAGUUAGGGUUUGUGUUGGAGCUAGGGUUAGGGUUGGGCUUGGAGCUAGGAUUUUUCUGAGUGCAAUGAACCAACUCCCGAGUCUCUAGGACGUUCCUAAAAAAAUUUGAUUUUUUCCCAUAGGAAUGCAUGGGUUAGGGUUAGGGUUAGGGUUGGAGCUAGGGUUAGGGUUAGGGUUGGAGUUAGGGUUAGUGUUGGAGCUAGCGUUAGGGUUGGGCUUGGAGCUAGGAUUUUUCUGAGUGCAAUGAACCAACUCCCGAGUCUCUAGGACGUUCCUAAAAAAAAUUGAUUUUUUCCCAUAGGAAUGCAUGGGUUAGGGUUAGGGUUAGUGUUGGAGUUAGGGUUAGGGUUAGGGUUAGGGUUGGAGUUAGGGUUAGUGUUGGAGCUAGCGUUAGGGUUGGGCUUGGAGCUAGGAUUUUUCUGAGUGCAAUGAACCAACUCCCGAGUCUCUAGGACGUUCCUAAAAAAAAUUGAUUUUUUCCCAUAGGAAUGCAUGGGUUAGGGUUAGGGUUAGAGUUGGAGCUAGGGUUAGGGUUAGGGUUAGGGUUGGGUUAGGGUUAGUGCCAACCCAAUUUUUCACCUUCCAGAAUAGUGUUAGGAG